This 254-nucleotide long non-coding RNA is filed under the name Gossypium barbadense (sea-island cotton). RNAcentral's name for it is "long non-coding RNA (GBAR_LNC007007)". The record is from RNAcentral. Lineage: Eukaryota; Viridiplantae; Streptophyta; Magnoliopsida; Malvales; Malvaceae.
UUCGCUUGCAUCUGAGCUAUCUGGUCUCUUAACCUCUGAACUUCAGCUUGAGCUUGACUUCCGGAAGGCAUGUAUUGUUGGGAGCCGGAUCCAAAAUAUUGGGUCAGGGUAACACCAGAUCCUUGAAAUCGAACCCGAACGUACCUUUCAAGACCCAAAACUUCAGUGAUAAUUUUGUUAUCAAUGUUCUCAAGAUUAACAGAACUAUCAGUUGAAGCAAUCGCUUCAUAUUCCGCCUUCUUCUCCUUUAGUUU